AUAUCAUAUUCCCAUUUCUUGAGAACCCAGAAACCAAAAUCCUCUCCGCUCUUGAUUUCUUCUUCAAAAUUGAAAGAAAAUCGAUUGAGAAGCUAUGGAUGAUAACGUGAACAAUUGCUGGUCGGUCGAGAAGCUGAAGUGGGUGGGGACGAGCGUAGCGAUGGCGUUCUUCGCCUCCUUGGAACGUUGUUCUUGCAUUAAUCUCUCUACCUCUGAUGACGCUGAGGAUGCGGAGGAGGCUCACGAUCGGCCUCUCAUGUUCUGCAAUUCAAUCUCCAAUUCCUCUGUUUCCUCUGCUUCUUCCAUGGGUCACAACACCAAUCCAAACGGGGUCGUCUCCUUCUCCUCGUAAGAAGAUAUGAAACCCAAAAUGUUGAUUGAUUUGAUGUUUGGAUGGGAAAAUUUUAAUUGGGAUUUUGAAUAAUUCUCCAUGUGUUUGUUUUGUUGUAUGAAUUUGGUAUUUGGGAGGAUUUCCUUUUGGAUUUUGUUAGAUUUGUGAGAUUGUGUCUCUGUUUGGGUUUCAAUUUUGUUGUAUGAUUUCAAAACAACUUUCAUUUCUUUUCUUUUUCUUUGUAUUUUUCUUUUUGAUGUAAUUAUGAUCUAGAUUGUAAAAACUAUCACAAAUUUCCUUAUGAAUGAAUGUAAAAUUCCC
This 652-nucleotide unclassified non-coding RNA is filed under the name Hevea brasiliensis (rubber tree). Lineage: Eukaryota; Viridiplantae; Streptophyta; Magnoliopsida; Malpighiales; Euphorbiaceae. The record is from RNAcentral.